GUCCACGCCCUAAACGAUGUCAACUAGGUGUUGGGGAAGGAGACUUUCUUAGUACCGCAGCUAACGCGUGAAGUUGACCGCCUGGGGAGUACGGUCGCAAGAUUAAAACUCAAAGGAAUUGACGGGACCCGCACAAGCGGUGGAUGAUGUGGAUUAAUUCGAUGCAACGCGAAAACCUUACCUACCCUUGACAUGCCAGGAAUCCUGAAGAGAUUUGGGAGUGCCCGAAAGGGAGCCUGGACACAGGUGCUGCAUGGCUGUCGU
Molecule: ribosomal RNA, 264 nt
Filed under: uncultured bacterium
Lineage: Bacteria
Description: partial 16S ribosomal RNA
Rfam family: Bacterial small subunit ribosomal RNA
Source: RNAcentral